GGAGGGGGAGGUAAGGAGAGAGGAGGGAGAGAAUGGGAGGAGUUAAGGUAUAAAAGGAAGGCUCCUUUUGAGCGGGUUUCAGAUUCAACCGGACUCUAAGACACACUGGAGCCUUUGACAUCACAACACACAGACACACACAGACACACAGACACACACAGACACGCACAGACACACACAGACACACACAGACACACACCUCUCUCGGCAACGGCGUUUCAGACCAACUUCUCAACAUGCUAACAAGGACUCUGCUGGUUCUCUGCUUGCUGGCGAGGAUGGGCCUCACAGCACCGGUUGAGGGAGUCGGAAAAACCGUUAGUCCAACAGAUGCUUCUGCAGUAAUUAAAGGAGUAGGAAACACCAUCGGUCCAAAAGAUGAUUCUGCAGUCGAUGAAGACCUGAUCACAGACUCGCCCGACGCUGCAGAAUCCCAGGAGCAGGUGAACGACCAGGAGGACCCACAGCCAGGAGGAGACAGCAGCCAGGAGGAGAAGGAUGUGGACCUGGAAGACAAGACGUCGGAAGAGAAGGAGGAGGAUCUCCUAGAGAACAGUUCAGAGGAGGAGGAGGAGGAGGGAACAAAGGAGGAGAGUUCAGAGGAGGAGAGUCCAGAGGAGGAGGAGGGACCAAAAGAGGAGAGUUCAGAGCAGGAGAGUCCAGAGGAGGAGGAGGGACCAAAAGAGGAGAGUUCAGAGGAGGAGGAGGGACCAGAAAAGGAAAGUUCAGAGGAAGAGGAGGAGCCAGAGUCAGACCAGAAGAACGAUAGCACCGCCGCUGGUGUGGCAGAUGAUGCUGAUGAUAAUAAUGACGACUCUGACGAGGCUGGACAGUCCGGCAAGCCUAGCGAGUCUGACAAGGUUACCAUGGUUACCACGGCUAGCUGGGUUAACGACUCGAGCGAGAAUAGAGAGGUUAACGACCCUAGGGAAUAUACCAAGGCUACCGAGGAUAGCGACUCUAGCGAGAAUAAAGAGGUUAACGACUCUAUCGAGGCUACCGCAGCUAGCGAGUCUGACGAGGUUGCCAUGGUUACCGAGGCUAGCGAGGAUAGCGACUCUAGCGAGAACAAAGAGGUUAACGACUCUAUCGAGGCUACCGCGGCUAGCGAGUCUGACGAGGAUAGCGACUCUAGCGAGAAUAAAGAGGUUAACGACUCUAUCGAGGCUCCCGCGGCUAGCGAGUCUGACGAGGUUGCCAUGGUUACCAAGGCUAGCGAGGAUAGCGACUCUAGCGAGAAUAGCGAGGUUAGCGACUCCGGCGAGGUUACCAAGGCUACCGAGUCUAGCGAGGACAGCGAGUCUAGCGAGGACAGCGACUCUAGCGACAAUAGCGAGGUUAGCGACUCCAGCGAGGUUACCAUGGCUGGCGAGGCCAGCAAUGCUAGCAAGGCUAUCGAUGCCAGCGAUGCUAGCGACUCUAGCGACUCUAGCGAAUCUAGCAAGUCUAGCGAAUCUAGCGACGCCAGCGACGCUGGUGAUGCUAGCGACUCUAGCGAGGCUAACAAGGCUAACGAGGCCGGUGAGGCUAGCGAGGUCUCCGAAUCCAACGAGUCGAGCGAGGAGUCGGAACAGAAGCUAGCAGAGGAGCUGGACGAGAUGCUUGAAGGAUGUCCGACGAUCCCUGAGGAGGUGGAGAAGGCGCAGUUGGAGCAGGAGGAGCAGGCCUCAGCAGCAAGCAGCAGCGAGGAGACACCAGACGACGUUGGGGCCCACAGAGAGUGGCCCGAGGCCGAGGCGCCCGGGACCAACGACCCUCCGCUUCGCUGAAUGUGAGCCCCCCCCACCCCACCCACCCCCCCCCCGUAAAUAGCCCCGCCCCCCCAACCAGUUGACCCCUUGGCGUGGCGGCCUCGCACUCCCCAUGCCAUAGCAACCUAAUAACCAUGUCCGUUUGCCUGUUGCGUUGUUUGUUAUCGCAGACAUGAAAAAACGGAGGUUCCCAUGAAGGCCGUCCAAUCAGGUCACACAGCUGCCCCCAACACAGGGUACACACACACACACACACCCACACACACACACACAUACACACACACACACCACACCACACACACAAACCACACACACACCACACACCCACCACACACACACACAACACACACACACACACACACACACACACACACACACACACACAGACAGGUACACACACACUGAUGAUGCCAAUUCAAAGCUCACACUCAAAAGUUGUGUUUUUGUCACUCAAUCACCUGACAACUCAUUAGCUCAAACAUUCAAAAUCCACCACCACCUCCACCACCUCCACCACCUCCACCACCUCCACCACCUCCACCACCCCAACCACCCCCACCUCCCCCAACUCCCACACCCCCACCACCUCCAGCACCUCCAGCACCUCCAGCACCUCCAGCACCUCCACCACCUCCCCCUUCUCCCCCACCUCCCCCACUUCCCCCACCUCCCCCUUCUCCCCCACCUCCCCCACUUCCCCCACCUCCCCCACCUCCCCCUUCUCCCCCACCUCCCCCACUUCCACCACCUCCCCCUUCUCCCCCACCUCCACCACCUCCACCACCUCCCCCACUUCCACCACCUCCCCCUUCUCCCCCACCUCCCCCUUCUCCCCCACCUCCCCCGCCCCCACCACCUCCCCCUUCUCCCCCACCUCCCCCUUCUCCCCCACCUCCCCCGCCCCCACCACCUCCCCCUUCUCCCCCACCCCCACCUCCACCACCUCCCCCACCUCCACCACCUCCCCCCACCUCCACCACCUCCCCCUCCUCCACCUUGUUGAAGCAUUAGACCUGAUGAACGCCUCAUGUUUCAUUCUCUCCAGAUGCUGGGAACUCCAAGAAGCCUGAGUGAGACGUCUCCAGGUAACACCACCCUACUGACGUAGCUCUCUCUCUAACACCACCUAACAGACAUAGCUAUCUCUCUAACACCGCCCUACUGACGUAGCUCUCUCUAACCCCACCCUACUGACGUAGCACUCUCUCUUUAAGACCACCCUACUGACGUAGUUCUCUCUCUAACACAGCCCUACUGACGUAGCUCUCUCUCUAACACCACCCUACUGACGUAGCUCUCUCUCUAACACCACCCUACUGACAUAGCUCUCUCCCUAACACCACCCUACUGACAUAGCUCUCACUCUGACACCACCCUACUGACAUAGCUCUCUCCCUAACACCACCCUACUGACGUAGCUCUCUCUCUAACACCACCCUACUGACGUAGCUCUCUCUAAACCAACCCUACUGACGUAGCUCUCUCUAACCCCACCCUACUGACGUAGCACUCUCUCUUUAAGACCACCCUACUGACGUAGCUCUCUCUCUAACACCGCCCUACUGACGUAGCUCUCUCUAACACCACCCUACUGACGUAGCUCUCUCUAAACCAACCCUACUGACAUAGCUCUCUCUCUAACACCACCCUACUGACGUAGCUCUCUCUCCCUAACACCACCCUACUGACAUAGCUCUCUCUCUAACAACACCCUACUGACGUAGCUCUCAUUCUCUCUAACACCACCCUACUGACGUAGCUCUCUCUCUAAAACCACCCUACUGACGAAGCUCUCGUUCUCUCUAACACCACCCUACUGACGUAGCUCUCGUUCUCUCUAACACCACCCUACUGACGUAGCUCUCUCUCUAACACCACCCUACUGACGUAGCACUCUCUCUCUAACACCACCCUACUGACGUAGCUCGCUCUCUCUAACACCACCCUACUAACGUAGCUCUCUCUCUAACACCACCCUACUGACGUAGCUCUCGUUCUCUCUAACACCACCCUACUGACGUAGCUCGCUCUCUCUAACAACACCAUACUAACAUAUCUCUCUCUCUAACACCACCCUACUGAUGUAGCUAUCUCUCAAACACCACCCUACUGACAUAUCUCUCUCUCUAACACCACCCUACUGACGUAGCUCUCUCUCUAACACCACCCUACUGACGUAGCUCUCUCUCUCUAACACCACCCUACUGACACAGCUCGCUCUCUCUAACACCACCCUACUAACGUAGCUCUCUCUCUAACACCACCCUACUGACGUAGCUCGCUCUCUAACACCACCCUACUGACGUAGCUCUCUCUCUAACACCACCCUACUGACGUAGCUCUCGUUCUCUCUAACGCCACCCUACUGACGUAGCUCGCUCUCUCUAACACCACCAUACCGACAUAUGUCUCUCUCUAACACCACCCUGCUGACGUAGCUCUCUCUCUAACACCACCCUACUGACGUAGCUCUCUCUCUCUAACACCACCCUACUGACAUAGCUCGCUCUCUCUAACACCACCCUACUAACGUAGCUCUCUCUCUAACACCACCCUACUGACGUAGCUCGCUCUCUAACACCACCCUACUGACGUAGCUCUCUCUCUAACACCACCCUACUGACGUAGCUCUCUCUCUCUAACACCACCCUACUGACGUAGCACUCUCUCUCUAACACCACCCUACUGACAUAGCUCUCUCUCUAACACCACCCUACUGACGUAGCUCUCUCUCUCUAACACCACCCUACUGACGUAGCACUCUCUCUCUAACACCACCCUACUGACGUAGCUCUCUCUCUAUGAUGAAUAUAACAGUCACCUCAGCUAUUGUUCUUGUGAGAGGAGGAAUGUGAAGGUGUGUCUUUCUCUUUGUCUGGCCUCACCUCCUCUACCCUCAGCUCCUCCACCCUCAGCUCCUCCAUCCUCAGCUCCUCCACCCUCACCUCCUCUACCCUCACCUCCUCCACCCUCACCUCCUCCACCCUCAGCUCCUCUACCCUCAGCUCCUCUACCCUCACCUCCUCUACCCUCACCUCCUCCACCCUCAGCUCCUCUACCCUCAGCUCCUCUACCCUCAGCUCCUCUACCCUCACCUCCUCUACCCUCACCUCCUCCACCCUCACCUCCUCCACCCUCAGCUCCUCUACCCUCACCUCCUCUACCCUCAGCUCCUCCACCCUCAGCUCCUCCACCCUCACCUCCUCUACCCUCACCUCCUCCACCCUCACCUCCUCCACCCUCAGCUCCUCUACCCUCAGCUCCUCUACCCUCACCUCCUCUACCCUCACCUCCUCCACCCUCACCUCCUCUACCCUCAGCUCCUCUACCCUCAGCUCCUCUACCCUCACCUCCUCCACCCUCACCUCCUCCACCCUCAGCUCCUCUACCCUCAGCUCCUCUACCCUCAGCUCCUCUACCCUCACCUCCUCCACCCUCACCUCCUCCACCCUCACCUCCUCUACCCUCAGCUCCUCCACCCUCACCUCCUCUAUCCUCAGCUCCUCUACCCUCAGCUCCUCCACCCUCACCUCCUCUACCCUCACCUCCUCCACCCUCACCUCCUCCACCCUCACCUCCUCCACCCUCACCUCCUCUACCCUCACCUCCUCCACCCUCACCUCCUCCACCCUCAGCUCCUCUACCCUCACCUCCUCUACCCUCACCUCCUCUACCCUCACCUCCUCCACCCUCAGCUCCUCCACCCUCAGCUCCUCCACCCUCACCUCCUCUACCCUCACCUCCUCUACCCUCACCUCCUCCACCCUCACCUCCUCUACCCUCAGCUCCUCCACCCUCACCUCCUCCACCCUCACCUCCUUUACCCUCACCCGCUCUACCCUCACCCCCUCCACCCUCACCUCCUCCACCCUCACCCCCUCCACCCUCACCUCCUCCACCCUCACCUCCUCCACUCCUAUAUAUAAAGAUGAGAUAAAAAUAUUGCUAAAAGAUAGAUAUAGCUGUCGAUAUAUAGAAAUAGAUAAAGCUAAAAAUAGAUAGAUAGAGGUGUAGAUGUUGCUAUAGAGGUGGAGAUAUAGUGGUGGAUGUAGAUAUAGCUGUAGAGCUAUAGAUGUAGAGUUAUAGGUGUAGAGUUAUAGGUGUAGCGCUAUAGAUGUAGAGAUAUAGCUGUAGAUAUAGAUGUAGAGCUAUAGAUGUAGAGCUAUAGGUGUAGCGCUAUAGAUGUAGAGAUAUAGAUAAAGGUGUAUUGAUGAUCUUCCAUCUUGUCGUUCUCAGGCUGACUGAUCCAUUCCAGUCUUCCUCAUUCUUCAUCGCCAUGACAACCGCCUGUCUCUGAUGCCUCUCAACACCAUCUCCUCUUUCUUCAGCUGGGACACACACAUACACACACACACACACACACACACACACACACACACACACACAUACACACACACACACACAGACACACACACACACACACACACACACACGCACACACAAAUUCAACCACACACACACACACACACAGACACACACACACACACACACACACACAAACACACAAACACACACACACACACACACACACACACACACACACACACACACACACACAGCCAUACACACUGUGGACGGUGCUGGGUUAGGCGGGAGCUGAUUGGUCGGUUGGAAGCGUCUAACUAGACCAAACUCUCCCCUAUUAGUUUAGCUGCCUGUUAACCCAGCAGGUCAAAGGUCACCCAGCCCUGUUUGUACAUAUUUAGUGUUUCUGUUUAAAUCUGACCCUCUGGGUUCUGUUGUAAAUCUUGGGUUCCAACUGUUGUUCUGUCAGAGGAACCUUUGAACCUCUAAUAAAUUCUAGCAUAUGCGUGGAUGUUUUCUUUCCAGACUCAUUCAUUCGUUAUUAAUAUGUUUCUAAUGGUAGUCUAUCUAUCAAUCCUUUGGAUCAUUUGUGAUCAAGUGUUUUUAAUAGUAAUAGCAUGAUCUGUUCAUAUAUAAUAUAAUUCUAAGAUGUUUAUCCUUAAUUCAUUGUGAAUUUAUUAGUAGC
This 6741-nucleotide long non-coding RNA is filed under the name Gadus morhua (Atlantic cod). RNAcentral's name for it is "lncRNA (ENSGMOG00000023081.1)". Lineage: Eukaryota; Metazoa; Chordata; Actinopteri; Gadiformes; Gadidae. The record is from RNAcentral.